UGGGGAAUUUUGGACAAUGGGGGAAACCCUGAUCCAGCAAUGCCGCGUGAGUGAAGAAGGCCUUCGGGUUGUAAAGCUCUUUCGUGAGGGAAGAAACACCGGCUCUAACACAGUCCGGGAAUGACGGUACCUGUAGAAUAAGCACCGGCUAACUACGUGCCAGCAGCCGCGGUAAUACGUAGGGGGCAAGAGUUAAUCGGAAUUAUUGGGCGUAAAGAGUGCGCGGGCGGUUAUGCAAGACAGGCGGGG
This 249-nucleotide ribosomal RNA is filed under the name uncultured Polynucleobacter sp. RNAcentral describes it as "partial 16S ribosomal RNA". It matches the Rfam family "Bacterial small subunit ribosomal RNA", at positions 355 to 597 of the family's 1533-position model. Lineage: Bacteria; Pseudomonadati; Pseudomonadota; Betaproteobacteria; Burkholderiales; Burkholderiaceae. The record is from RNAcentral.